UUUCCGUAGGUGAACCUGCGGAAGGAUCAUUAUCGAGUUUUGACUCGGUUGUAGCUGGCCUUCCGAGGCAUGUGCACGCCCUGCUCAUCCACUCUACACCUGUGCACUUACUGUGGGUAUCAGAUCGUGAAGCGUGCUCUUUUACCGGAGCUUGUGAAGCGUGUCUGUGCCUGCGUUUAUCACAAACACUAUAAAGUAUCAGAAUGUGUAUUACGAUGUGACGCAUCUAUAUACAACUUUCAGCAACGGAUCUCUUGGCUCUC
This 263-nucleotide unclassified non-coding RNA is filed under the name plant metagenome. RNAcentral describes it as "partial contains small subunit ribosomal RNA, internal transcribed spacer 1, and 5.8S ribosomal RNA". The record is from RNAcentral.